Paenibacillus wynnii is the source of this 173-nucleotide regulatory RNA element. It matches the Rfam family "PyrR binding site". Rfam says of the family: This family represents the PyrR binding site and terminator structure. This RNA structure is found upstream of a variety of genes involved in pyrimidine biosynthesis and transport. The record is from Rfam. NCBI's taxonomy places the organism in Bacteria, Bacillati, Bacillota, Bacilli, Caryophanales, Paenibacillaceae.
AGCGCCUUUAAUUCAGUCCCGUGAGGCUGGCAAGGUAACGUGAAUCGAGGUUCGCGACUCUUAGAAGAGUAUCCGUAUGUAUACGGAUAAUCUUUUUAUGCGCGCGGCCACGCCAUCUUUCUUAAUUCUGCGGAUUUCACUCCUUGCCUACCUUGGGCAAGGAGUUUUUUGUU